RNAcentral lists this ribosomal RNA (497 nucleotides) under uncultured bacterium. Its description in RNAcentral is "partial 16S ribosomal RNA". It matches the Rfam family "Bacterial small subunit ribosomal RNA", at positions 28 to 507 of the family's 1533-position model. The record is from RNAcentral.
GAUGAACGCUGGCGGCGUGCCUAAUACAUGCAAGUCGAGCGAACAGACGAGGAGCUUGCUCCUCUGACGUUAGCGGCGGACGGGUGAGUAACACGUGGAUAACCUACCUAUAAGACUGGGAUAACUUCGGGAAACCGGAGCUAAUACCGGAUAAUAUAUUGAACCGCAUGGUUCAAUAGUGAAAGACGGUUUUGCUGUCACUUAUAGAUGGAUCCGCGCCGCAUUAGCUAGUUGGUAAGGUAACGGCUUACCAAGGCAACGAUGCGUAGCCGACCUGAGAGGGUGAUCGGCCACACUGGAACUUAGACACGGUCCAGACUCCUACGGGAGGCAGCAGUAUGGAAUCUUCCGCAAUGGGCGAAAGCAUGACGGAGCAACGCCGCGUGAGUGAUGACGGUCUUCGGAUCGUAAAGCUCUGUUAUUAGGGAAGAACAAAUGUGUAAGUAACUAUGCACGUCUUGACGGUACCUAAUCAGAAAGCCACGGCUAACUACGUG